AGAUGGAGACUCCUAAAGCAGGCUUGGGAAAAGACAGACAGUGCAGAAGAAGCCUGGUGGCUCAAGAGGAGAGAGACCUGAGAGGCAGAGCUCUCUAACAGAGUGAGGAAGAAGAUUUUGGACACUGUAACCCCGGAAGGGGUAGGAGAGCUAAGUGUACAGACCACUGAUGUCUUGAGCAGAAACAGGGAGGUGCUAUAGCUGAAAUGCCAGGACUUGCCACAGGAAGUUGCUCCAGGAUGGAACGGUAAUAAGAAUAAACACCAACAUGGGCCACAAACUUACGCUCUUCCUUUGGUAUGCGAUCCAUAGUAACACCACAGCAGAAGACAGCCUACCACUGAAACAGGAAAAGAAUGACCAGAACUGCUACUGACACCUCACAGCCUUUCAAAGCAGCCCCGCUGGCACCUCACUGAACUCUAUGAAUGUAUAGAUCAGAUUUCAGAUCAUUCAUUAAUUUGUUUCAGACAUAGGAAACAUCAGACUGGACUAGACCAGGGGUCCAGCUAGCACAACAUCCUGUCACCGACAAUGGCCAGCUCCAGAUGUUUCAAAGGAAGGUGCAAGAAAUCCCACAACAGGCAAUUGUGGAGUAACCUUCCUCUAUGGGAAAUUUCUAUCUAAUCAACUCUCCAACACCACCUACUAUGAAGAACUCAAAGAAGACCCCACACCACAGGAAUUUAAGGAUAUCAUCAAAUCCUUCCCCCAAACAACUCCAAGAGAAACUCUACAAACUCAUCCCUCAAGAACCCACCACUGGGACCUUCUACAUGGUUCCCAAGAUACACAAACAAGGAAACCCAGGCAGACACAUCAUAUCAGCAACAGUACUCUCAGUGAAGGAAUAUUGGGACUCCUAGAAACCAUCUUCAAACCGGUCACCACACAAAAAAACUUCCUCCAGGACACAAUCAACCCACAAACUCCAGAACAUCAACAAUUUCCCUUGGGACGCCAUCUUUGCCAUCAUGGAUGUCACUUCCUUAUACACCAAUAUCCCCCACAAUGACAGCAUCGCUGCCUGCCUCAAAUAUUUACAAGACACUGGACAACACUGAGAUCUCCACCCUGAACACAUCGCCAAACUCAUCCAUUUCAUCCUGACCCAUAACAACUUUACAUUCAACAACAAACAUUUUGUUGAAACCAUCGGAACAGCCAUGGGUACUAGCAUGGCUCCCCGAUAUGCCAUCCUCUUCAUGGUCCACUUGAAGAAUUUCUGGACAAAUGCACCAGAAAACCACUGAUAAACCUAAGAUAAGUCUAUAAUAUUUUCAUCCUCUGGACAGAUGACCUAAACUCCCUCAUAGAUUUUCACCACAACUUCAACAGCCACCAUCUGUCCAUUAAAUUCUGUUUGGAAAACUCCCACACUAGCAUCAACUUCCUGGACACCAGAGUCAGUUUCAACAAUGGAACCCUACAGAUAACUAUGUACAAGAAACCCACAGAUCACCACACUUACCUCCACAAAUCUAGCAACCACCUCAAACACACCAAGAAAGUUAUCUACAGCCAGGCACUCUGAUAGCACAGAAUAUGCUCUAAGGAGAAAGUCCAGGAUAUACACCUUAGUGCACUGAAAACUGCCUUCAAACAAGAACACUCCACCAGAGAAGUGGAUCACAUCAUGGAACCAGCCCGGAGUGGACCUGCUUCAAUACAGAAAUAAAACACCCUCUGACCUCACACCCCUCCCUGUCACCUACCACCCCUUACUGGAACCCAUAAGAAGCAUCAUCAAAUAAAUACAACCCAUGCUCAGUGGGAAUCCAUCCUGAAAGAAAUCUUUCCUGAAUGCCCUAUGCUGGCCUUCAAAACAAUCCCCUAGGCUCCCUCUCCAAGCUCAUCAGAAGCAAGCUCCCCAUAGACUAGGACACAUCAACUCACAGCUGCACCAGACCCCACCAAAACAACAGAUGCAAAACCUGCAGACAUAUCUCCACUGCUGCAAUGAUCAACCCCUACUUCCAUUGCUAUCAUAAUAUGUCGUAUACCUCAUUCAGUGCACUAACAUGCCCAAUAAUAACUAUGUGAGUGAAACCAACAAUCACUACCAUCUCGAAUGAAC
This is a long non-coding RNA of Chrysemys picta bellii (western painted turtle), 2077 nucleotides long. RefSeq lists it as uncharacterized. NCBI's taxonomy places the organism in Eukaryota, Metazoa, Chordata, Testudines, Emydidae. The record is from RefSeq and is a predicted model, not a curated record.